UUACUUUCUAAGUACUAUAAUGCUUCAUUUCCUCCCACAAUGUAUUCUACAUAAUCUCAUUUUAAAAGUGGGAAUAGGUUUUUUUUUUUCCUGGAAAGAAAUAUAUUUUUAUCUGUAAUUUGUUGGAGUGAUGCAAAGAAGGGUAAGGCCUUAUUUCCCUAUGCUCUUCAAACGGCUAAACCAAUAAAGGAAACUGAGUCUAAUUCUUACAGACUUUGUUAAAUAAAUAAAUAUAUAUAAAACAUAUGACAUUUCAUAGCAUUUCUUUUCAUAUAUACAUAUAUGUAAAGAAAUGUUAAAUAUAUUUCAAAAACUUAGAAUUAUGUUAUUGCCUGUAUCACUUCUAAAUAAAACAAAAUUUAUUUGAAAAUAAAUUAUUUUUAAAAUGACAAAACAUCUUGCUUUAAAACCACUGGUCAAAUUUUGGACACAGAAUAUCACAUAUAUUUGACAAAUAAUUAAUAAAAAUCAGAAUUUAAUUGGUUUUACAAUUAUGAGCUAAUUGAAUGAUAUAGUGUAGGCAGACAUAUGUAAAAUAAAGUGAUGUCGCCUAGUUUAAUUACUUAGUCAGAUGUUGUUACACCCACAGUGAUUCUUCAUAUAGCAAUGUAAAGUGUAUACUUUUAGUGUCAAAUUAGCUAUUUCCAUGCAUGAUUUGAUACUGAUAAAAUUAAUUAAAGCAAUGAAAUUUAAAUAUUAAUAGCUUAUCUUCAGUUCCACUGAGAUUUAUAUCUAAAUACUGGCAUGCUCAAGAAUCAAUAAUCCACUUAUGCAUUAUUUUUAUGUCCUUUUCAUUUUUCUUUUUAGCUCUAAUGAUGAAACAUAAGUAUCUGGAAUAAAAUUUUAUUUUUCCUUAAGACAUUUUUUAAUAUAGAAAUGCUUACCAGUCUUACUGUUAAAAACUGAAAAGAGUCAUAUAAAUUUGCAGAAAUGUCUGUGCCUAUCUGGCUCCACUCUCCUCUCAAUAAGAAUGUGUAAUUCCUGGGCAAGUCGUACUGUCAGGUUGGGCAUCAGGAGGAAAUUCCGAUUCCUUUUGUGACAUUUUCAAUCAUGUCUGGCAUUUACUUUAAAGGACCGCUUCAUCAAAAUUAUUUCUAAUCUAGGAGCUCUGAUUAUCAUUUAAAUAGAUUUGCUAAUUUUUAUUGAUUAAGGAUCCAAAUCAACCAAUAUUAUGUGGUUUAAAAUCAUUAUCUUCAUGUAAUAACUUAUCUUGACAGUAUGCUUUCUUAAAAUAAAGAAUUAUUGAUUGUAUCCUAAGUUUCCCCAGUUCUUAUGAUGUGGAAACAUAUUUCUUUAGAAAUAUAAUGAGAUUGUUUGUAUUUAUUUUUAGUAGAGUUAAAAAUUAAGUUCGACCAUUGUAAGAACAUAUUUUAAAUGCCACCAGAAUUCAGGAUGCAGAUUUAUGGUAGAUUUUGUAAUCUCCUGCCAAAUAACAUCUAUAGCUCAUCCAAGGGUCUGUUAGCCACUCCAAGAGAUGUUUGGCUUGUUCUGAUGCCACAGCACUAGAAUCAGGAAUGUAUUGGGUCUAAGUGAGACAAUCUUGGGAAGACCAAGAGUGGUGGAUUAGAAGUUUAUUCCAAAUUAAGUGUGUCUGUUAUAUACUAGCAAUCACAUUGUGCACGGUAGAACCCUAAGACUAAGAAGCCCACGGCUCAGUGGUAGUUGUGGCCAGCAUGUAUCUGGGCAAGACUGUGUAACGGACUGCUUAACUUUUGUCUUUUUAAAGCUAGGCUGAAGAGAGUAAUUGAACUUUCAGAAGGUCUGAUGUGCCCCUUACACGCUAAGAAUCAUCCACAACUACGUUUCCACUAGUGAGUUGGCACUGGGAAGCUCAGAAACUUAUAUCAAUGUUUGUGGUAAAAUAAUGUUGCUGAAUUCUCUGCCUUCAAAUUUGAUUGUACUGGCUUCCCUUUCUAUCCUUUAGAAAAGUAAACCCUGUGUAAUUUGCCAAAGUAACAUCCGUGUCUGAUCGUAAAUAUUAUGACUUGCAUUUUAUUCCAGAUUUUCAAUAUGUUUGCAACAAGAAAAUAAGUAAUCACCCAGAAUUUAAACUCACCCUUGUCAUCAUGUAGUUGGUCAUUACUAUAAAGAACAGUUUGGAAUUAAAUAAUUCCUUUUGUAUAUUUAUGCUUCUACUAAAGUAAACAUCAUUUAAAUUAGUGUGAAAUUAUAAUCACAAACAACACCCCAACCACAGAAGCUUAACCAUAAAUAUUAGCACAUUAUCAUCUUUGCCAAUAGGAAAUGGGCAAUAAUUGUGAUUUAUAAAGUCUGUUUGAUUCUCUUAAUUUUCCUAGGUAUUUAUAUAGAGUCAGUCUUAGACAGAAACACGUGAGAGUUAUUUACAUCCUCAAUUCUCCAUUUGAAAUCAAGCCUUUUAUUUUGAGAUGCUCCCUCUACACUGGAUUCCAAACAAGCUUAUGUUACAAACAUUCCCAAAAGAAUUCUAUUCCCAAGCUUUUCAGUGCACUGACACCCUUCCUGCAUACUGUAACAGACUACUUUCUGCUAGUGUAUCUGACAAACCAUUCUCCACAUUUAUAUUAGAUGAAAGCUAACAAUUUGCUUAUUACCUCAUUCCAGGAAACAUUUACAUUUAAGUCAAGAUAUUCCUAGUACCUUAAAUAUAGUAUUUAUCAUUUAUUUAACUAAAAGGACCACUCUAUUAUUCCUCUGUGGAUCUUAUGUUUUGAAAGAUUUUGACUGUCAUUUUGUAUUUGUAAGAAAAUAAGUGAUGGAUAUGGGUAUUGUGAUAAUCAGACAUAUGAUUCAGGUAAGUGUGUCUGCUCUAUCAUCAUAUUCCAGAAGUUUUGGUGAUAUCACCGGCAAUUAAUCUGAGCUUCUGAUUAGCACGAAUUUAGAACUGUGAUACUUUCAACCAAAUGGGAAGAAGUAAAUUAAGAGUUUCAUUAGAAUUUCCAAAACAUUGAAAAUGAUCUUUCAGGCUUCACUGCUACAUAUAGACUUUUAGAAGGAAAAGAACUCAGAGAACCAGUGUCUUCAUCCAAAAGAGUGACGCCAAGAUUUGGAAUUUUCUACCAGUGGAAGAAAUGAUUUUAGUUAAACCUCAUUAGCUCUUAUGUUCAAAAGAUGUGCUGCUCAAUGUUCAUACUGAAACUAUUUAC
Molecule: long non-coding RNA, 3125 nt
Filed under: Homo sapiens (human)
Lineage: Eukaryota; Metazoa; Chordata; Mammalia; Primates; Hominidae
Description: non-protein coding lnc-SPATA16-5:1
Source: RNAcentral